UUAUCAAAGCGCGCCAGUUCUAUGAGGUGGAGAAGGGUCGCUGUGGCGGGCGCCUGAGCCGCUGGCGGUUUAACUUCGUUUGGCUGCGGUUAGUGAUCUCUGCAGUGACUACAGGUGAGGAAAGGCGCCCGGUGCCUUUGGCGGGAGUGAGAGAAGAGCUCUGAAUAGCCUGACUUAAGGCCCCGACUUUAGCAGCAUCCCUGUUUCUUGGUGUGUGACAAUAACCCAGCAAUUUAAAGCGCUACUAAGAAGAGUGUGCUGGGGAUGCUCUAGGGAGAGACUGGAUGCUGAGACAAGUUCCAGUCCAAGGGGUUUUGGUUUGCCAAGAAGAAACCGAGUAUCAUGGAUCAGAACAACAGCUUGCCACCUUAUGCCCAGGGCUUGGCCUCCCCUCAGGGCGCCAUGACUCCUGGAAUUCCCAUCUUCAGUCCAAUGAUGCCUUAUGGCACCGGGCUGACCCCACAGCCUGUGCAGAACACCAGUAGUCUGUCCAUUUUGGAAGAACAGCAGAGGCAGCAGCAGCAACAGCAGCAGCAGCAGCAGCAACAGCAGCAGCAGCAGCAGCAACAGCAGCAGCAGGCCCAGCAGUCCUCAACCCAGCAGGCGGCGCAGGUGCCCACAGGCCAGGCCCCCCAGCUGUUCCACUCACAGACUCUCACCACAGCACCCCUGCCGGGCACCACACCCCUGUAUCCGUCCCCACUGACACCUAUGACCCCCAUCACCCCUGCCACACCGGCCUCUGAGAGCUCCGGGAUUGUGCCACAGUUGCAAAAUAUUGUUUCCACAGUGAAUCUUGGUUGUAAACUUGAUCUAAAGACCAUUGCACUUCGCGCCCGAAAUGCUGAAUAUAAUCCCAAGCGGUUUGCUGCUGUGAUCAUGAGAAUAAGAGAGCCACGGACCACAGCACUAAUUUUCAGUUCUGGGAAGAUGGUGUGCACAGGAGCCAAGAGUGAAGAACAGUCCAGACUAGCAGCAAGAAAAUAUGCCAGAGUUGUACAGAAAUUGGGCUUCCCAGCUAAGUUUUUGGAUUUCAAGAUUCAAAAUAUGGUGGGGAGCUGUGAUGUGAAGUUCCCUAUAAGGUUGGAAGGCCUUGUGCUAACCCACCAACAGUUUAGUAGUUAUGAGCCAGAGUUAUUUCCUGGUUUAAUCUACAGAAUGAUCAAACCCAGAAUCGUUCUUCUCAUUUUUGUUUCUGGAAAAGUUGUAUUAACAGGUGCUAAAGUCAGAGCAGAAAUUUAUGAAGCAUUUGAGAACAUCUACCCCAUUCUAAAGGGAUUCAGGAAGACAACAUAAUGACUGCCCUGUGCCCUGCCUCUACCACCCAUGUGUUCUGAACAAAUGAUGUCUCACUGUCUCCCUGGGUAGAGUGCCCUAGUGUCAUCACUGCUCACAGCAACUUCAAACUCCUGGGCUCUAGUGAUGUCUUGCCUCAGAGCUGGGACUAUAGGCACCUGCCACAACGCCCUGCUAGUUUUUCUGUUUCUAGUAGAGACUGGGUCUUAACACGUACUUGCGCUGGUCUCUAACUUUUGAACUCAAGCAAUCCACCUACCUCAGCCUUCCAGACUGCUGGGAUUAUAGUUGUCAUUUUAAACACAGUUGCCAAGUUGGUGUUGACUCAGAAUCCCUCUUUUGGUACAACCUGUUCCGAGUGAAAGACCUGGUGAUCUUGGACCGUCUCCAGAGGCACGGAACACGCACGUAGCGGCGGGCUGGGCGCUCCCAGAGCCUGCGUAGCGAUGUCCCCAUCACAGCUUCUACCACAAAGACCCUAACGUAUUUGCCUUAAAGGGCCUUACUGGGCAGAACGCACACGUACUGACUACAAGAAGUUUUUACUCACACCUUGUAACGUCAAGGCCCCGUGUCCUGCUGUCGGUCUGCACGUGCUGCGGGGUGUUCUGACCAAACGGCGGCAACCCGGGACCCAGCUGCCCAGGGUCAGAGCAGGAGAGCGCCCUGGGGGAGUUACUGCAUUCCCUGCUGGGGGGGCUGUGCAACCAGGGGUCCUCAAACUUUUUAAACAGGGGGCCAGUUCACUGUCCCUCAGACUGUUGGAGGGCCGAACUAUAGUUUAAAAAAAAAAAACUAUGAACAAAUUCCUAUGCACACUGCACAUAUCUUAUUUUGAAGUAAAAAAAAAAAAAAAAAUGGGAACAAAUACAA
RNA transcript from Nycticebus coucang (slow loris), 2169 nucleotides. It is a transcript of the gene named TATA-box binding protein, with no coding region annotated. NCBI's taxonomy places the organism in Eukaryota, Metazoa, Chordata, Mammalia, Primates, Lorisidae. The record is from RefSeq and is a predicted model, not a curated record. The transcript is spliced from 11 exons.